AUCUUGAUGCUUACCCUACCAAAGCAUCCGCCCGAGAACUACGAGCACAAACGCUUAAAACUCUAAGGACUUGGCGGUGCCCCAAACCCACCUAGAGGAGCCUGUUCUAUAAUCGACAACCCACGAUACACCCAACCACUUCUCGCCAGAACAGCCUACAUACCGCCGUCGCCAGCUCACCUUUCCUGAAAGCACAGCAGUGAGCACAAUCGCCCCAACCCCGCUAACAAGACAGGUCAAGGUAUAGCCUAUGAAGUGGAAGAAAUGGGCUACAUUUUCUAACUUAGAAAACCCCCCACCCAACGGAAGGGAGCAUGAAACAGCUCCCAGAAGGCGGAUUUAGCAGUAAAGCGGGAUAAUCAAGCCCCCUUUAAGCCGGCUCUGAGGCACGUACAUACCGCCCGUCACCCUCCUCACAAGCUCCAUCCCCCUAUAAAUAAUACACCAACCCGCCAAAGACGAGGUAAGUCGUAACAAGGUAAGUGUACCGGAAGGU
Molecule: ribosomal RNA, 496 nt
Filed under: Ptilinopus magnificus
Lineage: Eukaryota; Metazoa; Chordata; Aves; Columbiformes; Columbidae
Description: partial 12S ribosomal RNA
Rfam family: Bacterial small subunit ribosomal RNA
Source: RNAcentral